AGUUUGAUCCUGGCUCAGAUUGAACGCUGGCGGCAUGCCUUACACAUGCAAGUCGAACGGUAACAGGUCUUCGGAUGCUGACGAGUGGCGAACGGGUGAGUAAUACAUCGGAACGUGCCCGAUCGUGGGGGAUAACGGAGCGAAAGCUUUGCUAAUACCGCAUACGAUCUACGGAUGAAAGUAGGGGACCUUCGGGCCUUAUGCUUUUGGAGCGGCCGAUAUCUGAUUAGCUAGUUGGUGAGGUAAAGGCUCACCAAGGCGACGAUCAGUAGCUGGUCUGAGAGGACGACCAGCCACACUGGAACUGAGACACGGUCCAGACUCCUACGGGAGGCAGCAGUGGGGAAUAUUGGACAAUGGGCGCAAGCCUGAUCCAGCAAUGCCGCGUGAGUGAUGAAGGCCUUAGGGUUGUAAAGCUCUUUUACCCGGGAUGAUAAUGACAGUACCGGGAGAAUAAGCCCCGGCUAACUCCGUGCCAGCAGCCGCGGUAA
RNAcentral lists this ribosomal RNA (491 nucleotides) under uncultured bacterium. RNAcentral describes it as "bacterial SSU rRNA". It matches the Rfam family "Bacterial small subunit ribosomal RNA", at positions 10 to 523 of the family's 1533-position model. The record is from RNAcentral.